Molecule: transfer RNA, 65 nt
Filed under: Lamprolepis smaragdina
Lineage: Eukaryota; Metazoa; Chordata; Lepidosauria; Squamata; Scincidae
Description: partial tRNA-Tyr
Source: RNAcentral
UUGAUAAGGGCGGGACUUAUACCCACCUAAACAGGGCUAACACCUGGCGGCUACCUCGGGCCACC